RNAcentral lists this non-coding RNA (23 nucleotides) under Arabidopsis thaliana (thale cress). Lineage: Eukaryota; Viridiplantae; Streptophyta; Magnoliopsida; Brassicales; Brassicaceae. The record is from RNAcentral.
UAGACCUCAUGUACACUUGCCUC